RNAcentral lists this long non-coding RNA (720 nucleotides) under Homo sapiens (human). Its description in RNAcentral is "novel transcript". Lineage: Eukaryota; Metazoa; Chordata; Mammalia; Primates; Hominidae. The record is from RNAcentral.
UCUCUAAUUCAAGAGGACACUGGUCCAUGGCUAUCUUUCUUUUCUUACUGUAUCUUGUAACUUCUGUGGUGCUUUAUCGAGAUUUACCAGAUGGCCCUGGAUUGAUUUGCCAAAGAUCCACCCAGGAAUCCUGACUCAUUAAAGAAGGGUGGAGAUUUUCUGAGCUAAGCGAGAGACCUUUCCUCAGAGGUCAUUUUCUCUUCGACUUCUUCUGAGGCAACUCCUGCAGCCAGCCCCCAAAGACAGAAUCAGAUAAUAGGAAUUCAAAAACCUAACUUAACUGUGAGCCAUGUUACAAGGUUCAAGACCUUCAGCAACAGCCAGUUUUACUAAGUUACUAAUAGUCAAGGAGGUAAAAAAUGUUUUUCUGUUUUGUCUUUUAUUGAUGACUAAAUGAGAAUUAUCGAUACCUCAUUAUGAAGUUUCUUUCUUUUCAGAAGUAAAGUGCAUAUUUAGUCUUUUGGAUUUUUAGUAGUUGGCAAAAAUUUAAGUGCUGAACACUGAAGUAAUUUACCAUGUUAUCAUAUUGCUCUGUAAUACUAUAAUACAUCCUUUUCUGUGUGUAGCUGAGACUAUAUAUUUCCUGAAAAUAGAUACUCCAGCUCUUUCAUCUCUGUGCUACAUUUUCUAGCCACAGAAUGCUGGGAAUUAUAACAUUUAAUAUUUUUACACAAAUAAUAAUGUUAAUGGAUGGCCAUAAAUGAAUGUCAGAAACCCCAA